RNAcentral lists this non-coding RNA (24 nucleotides) under Arabidopsis thaliana (thale cress). The record is from RNAcentral. Lineage: Eukaryota; Viridiplantae; Streptophyta; Magnoliopsida; Brassicales; Brassicaceae.
AGAUAAUUGUGCUUGUCGGUUGCU